RNAcentral lists this ribosomal RNA (492 nucleotides) under uncultured bacterium. RNAcentral's name for it is "partial 16S ribosomal RNA". It matches the Rfam family "Bacterial small subunit ribosomal RNA", at positions 29 to 507 of the family's 1533-position model. The record is from RNAcentral.
AUUGAACGCUGGCGGCAUGCUUUACACAUGCAAGUCGAACGGUAACAGGCCUUCGGGUGCUGACGAGUGGCGAACGGGUGAGUAAUGCAUCGGAACGUACCCAGAGGUGGGGGAUAACGCAGCGAAAGCUGUGCUAAUACCGCAUGUGAUCUGAGGAUGAAAGCGGGGGACCGAGCAGCAAUGUUUGGCCUCGCGCCUUUGGAGCGGCCGAUGUCGGAUUAGCUAGUUGGUGGGGUAAAGGCCUACCAAGGCGACGAUCCGUAGCUGGCCUGAGAGGACGACCAGCCACACUGGGACUGAGACACGGCCCAGACUCCUACGGGAGGCAGCAGUGGGGAAUUUUGGACAAUGGGCGCAAGCCUGAUCCAGCAAUGCCGCGUGCGGGAAGAAGGCCUUCGGGUUGUAAACCGCUUUUGGCAGGAACGAAACGGUGUCCGCUAAUACCGGGCGCUAAUGACGGUACCUGCAGAAUAAGCACCGGCUAACUACGUG